This 491-nucleotide ribosomal RNA is filed under the name uncultured bacterium. Its description in RNAcentral is "partial 16S ribosomal RNA". It matches the Rfam family "Bacterial small subunit ribosomal RNA", at positions 28 to 506 of the family's 1533-position model. The record is from RNAcentral.
GAUGAACGCUAGCUACAGGCUUAACACAUGCAAGUCGAGGGGAAACGGCAUCGAAAGCUUGCUUUUGAUGGGCGUCGACCGGCGCACGGGGGAGUAACGCGUAUCCAACCUGCCCAUCACUUGGGAAUAACCUUGCGAAAGUAAGACUAAUGCCCAAUGACAUCCCACGAAGGCAUCCGAAUGGGAUUAAAGAUUUAUCGGUGAUGGAUGGGGAUGCGUCUGAUUAGCUUGUUGGCGGGGUGACGGCCCACCAAGGCAACGAUCAGUAGGGGUUCUGAGAGGAAGGUCCCCCACAUUGGAACUGAGACACGGUCCAAACUCCUACGGGAGGCAGCAGUGAGGAAUCUUGGUCAAUGGGCGGGAGCCUGAACCAGCCAAGGAGCGUGCAGGAUGACGGCCCUAUGGGUUGUAAACUGCUUUUAUAAGGGAAUAAAGUGGGUCACGUGUGACUUUUGGCAUGUACCUUAGGAAUAAGGACCGGCUAAUUCCGU